GACGAACCGUGCGAACGUUGUUCGGAUUCACUGGGCUUAAAGGGCGCGUAGGCGGCGCGACAAGUCGGGGGUGAAAUCUUCCGGCCCAACCGGAAAAGGGCCCCCGAUACUGGCGCGCUGGAGGGAGGUAGGGGCAUGUGGAACUCCAGGUGGAGCGGUGAAAUGCGUAGAUAUCAGGAGGAACACCGGUGGCGAAGGCGGGUCUCUGGGCCGAUACUGACGCUGAGGAGCGAAAGCGUGGGGAGCGAACAGG
This 253-nucleotide ribosomal RNA is filed under the name uncultured bacterium. Its description in RNAcentral is "partial 16S ribosomal RNA". It matches the Rfam family "Bacterial small subunit ribosomal RNA", at positions 524 to 776 of the family's 1533-position model. The record is from RNAcentral.